CCUACGGGUGGCUGCAGUGGGGGAUAUUGCACAAUGGGGGAAACCCUGAUGCAGCGACGCCGCGUGUGGGAAGACGGUCUUCUGGAUUGUAAACCACUGUCCCCAGGGACGAAAAUGACGGUACCUGGGGAGGAAGCUCCGGCUAACUACGUGCCAGCAGCCGCGGUAAUACGUAGGGAGCAAGCGUUGUCCGGAAUUACUGGGUGUAAAGGGAGCGUAGGCGGGGAUGCAAGUUGGGUGUCAAAACUACCGGCUCAACCGAUAGUCGCACUCAAAACUGCAGCUCUUGAGUGAAGUAGAGGCAGGCGGAAUUCCUAGUGUAGCGGUGAAAUGCGUAGAUAUUAGGAGGAACACCAGUGGCGAAGGCGGCCUGCUGGGCUUUUACUGACGCUGAGGCUCGAAAGUGUGGAGAGCAAACAGGAUUAGAUACCCGGGUAGUC
RNAcentral lists this ribosomal RNA (440 nucleotides) under uncultured bacterium. RNAcentral describes it as "partial 16S ribosomal RNA". It matches the Rfam family "Bacterial small subunit ribosomal RNA", at positions 338 to 795 of the family's 1533-position model. The record is from RNAcentral.